RNAcentral lists this ribosomal RNA (464 nucleotides) under uncultured bacterium. RNAcentral's name for it is "bacterial SSU rRNA". It matches the Rfam family "Bacterial small subunit ribosomal RNA", at positions 199 to 644 of the family's 1533-position model. The record is from RNAcentral.
GGAGAAAGCAGGGGAUCGCAAGACCUUGCGCUUUUGGAGCGGCCGAUGCCUGAUUAGCUUGUUGGUGAGGUAAAAGCUCACCAAGGCUCCGAUCAGUAGCUGGUCUGAGAGGACGACCAGCCACACUGGGACUGAGACACGGCCCAGACUCCUACGGGAGGCAGCAGUGGGGAAUUUUGGACAAUGGGGGCAACCCUGAUCCAGCCAUGCCGCGUGAGUGAAGAAGGCCUUCGGGUUGUAAAGCUCUUUCAGCCGGAACGAAACGGUCACGGUUAACACCCGUGACUACUGACGGUACCGGAAGAAGAAGCACCGGCUAACUACGUGCCAGCAGCCGCGGUAAUACGUAGGGUGCGAGCGUUAAUCGGAAUUACUGGGCGUAAAGCGUGCGCAGGCGGUUUUGUAAGUCAGAUGUGAAAUCCCCGGGCUUAACCUGGGAACUGCGUUUGAAACUACAAGGCUAG